UCGCAAGACCUCGCGCGAUUGGAGCGGCCGAUAUCAGAUUAGGUAGUUGGUGAGGUAAAGGCUCACCAAGCCAACGAUCUGUAGCUGGUCUGAGAGGACGACCAGCCACACUGGAACUGAGACACGGUCCAGACUCCUACGGGAGGCAGCAGUGGGGAAUUUUGGACAAUGGACGCAAGCCUGAUCCAGCAAUGCCGCGUGCAGGAUGAAGGCCUUCGGGUUGUAAACUGCUUUUGUACGGAACGAAACGGUGAGCUCUAAUACAGUUUGCUAAUGACGGUACCGUAAGAAUAAGCACCGGCUAACUACGUG
RNAcentral lists this ribosomal RNA (312 nucleotides) under uncultured bacterium. RNAcentral's name for it is "bacterial SSU rRNA". It matches the Rfam family "Bacterial small subunit ribosomal RNA", at positions 200 to 507 of the family's 1533-position model. The record is from RNAcentral.